UAAGGCGCCAGUUUAAGGCACUGGUCCGAAAGGGCGUGGGUUCGAAUCCCACAUUGGCCA
Molecule: transfer RNA, 60 nt
Filed under: Albugo candida
Lineage: Eukaryota; Oomycota; Peronosporomycetes; Albuginales; Albuginaceae
Rfam family: tRNA
About the family: Transfer RNA (tRNA) molecules are approximately 80 nucleotides in length.
Source: Rfam by way of RNAcentral